UACGGAGGAUCCAAGCGUUGUCCGGAUUUAUUGGGUUUAAAGGGUGCGUAGGCGGAUAAUUAAGUCAGUGGUGAAAUCUUGCGGCUCAACCGUAAAAUUGCCAUUGAAACUGAUUAUCUUGAGUACAGUUGAGGUGGGCGGAAUGUAUCAUGUAGCGGUGAAAUGCUUAGAUAUGAUACAGAACACCUAUUGCGAAAGCAGCUCACUACACUAUUAUUGACGCUGAGGCACGAAAGCGUGGGGAUCAAACAGG
Molecule: ribosomal RNA, 253 nt
Filed under: uncultured bacterium
Lineage: Bacteria
Description: partial 16S ribosomal RNA
Rfam family: Bacterial small subunit ribosomal RNA
Source: RNAcentral